Molecule: ribosomal RNA, 581 nt
Filed under: uncultured eukaryote
Lineage: Eukaryota
Description: eukaryotic LSU rRNA
Rfam family: 5.8S ribosomal RNA (bases 192-346)
Source: RNAcentral
ACUAGUGAUUUCCGUAGGUGAACCUGCGGAAGGAUCAUUGACACGAAUCCACAUUCAAACCUGCAUCGACUGUGAGCUGAUCUUCGGAUCGGAUCAUUGGCUUGUAGCGGCAUGCUGUAUAGUGUGUUGGCUGCUCGUCACGUCGAACCUUUUUCUAACCAUAUUUUUGAUAAAUCUUACAAACAUCUUACAACUUUUAGCAAUGGAUGUCUCGGCUUUAGCAACGAUGAAGGACGCCGCAAAAUGCGAUAGGCGCUGUGAAUGGCAGAAUUCCGCGAAUCAAGAGAAUGCUGAACGCAUACUGCGCUUUCAGGUCAGUCCUGGAAGUAUGUUUCGCUGAGGGCAUUUAUACUUUAAUGCAGUCAAUCAUGCAGAUUUCUGCUAGUUGACUUGCGUUCUUGUGCGACAGCGACGUUUAACCGUUGUCGCAUUAAAAUUAGUGUGAACACUUCCAAUCUUCCGUUUGGUGAUUAUUCAAUGAGCGGUAAAAUUGGUUGGUCAUACGUCAGAGCAACCGAAGGUUUCGACUUUCUGUUCUUGCAUCAGCUGAAACAAGGCUACCCGCUGAAUUUAAGCAUAUC